CGCAGGUUCGAAUCCUGCACGACCCACCAAUUUCAGCAUUUAACUCAGAUGCUGAACGUGAAGGAUAACGUUGCGUCAGCAACGGCCCGAAGGGCGAGGCAAAGCCGAGUCAUCCUGCACGACCUACCA
Molecule: small RNA, 129 nt
Filed under: Klebsiella pneumoniae
Lineage: Bacteria; Pseudomonadati; Pseudomonadota; Gammaproteobacteria; Enterobacterales; Enterobacteriaceae
Description: partial RtT sRNA
Rfam family: RtT RNA
About the family: This family represents a bacterial cis-regulatory element known as RtT RNA. The exact function of RtT is unknown although it is thought that it may be involved in changing the cellular response in relation to amino acid starvation.
Source: RNAcentral